RNAcentral lists this long non-coding RNA (16404 nucleotides) under Theobroma cacao (cacao). Its description in RNAcentral is "long non-coding RNA (TCAC_LNC003509)". Lineage: Eukaryota; Viridiplantae; Streptophyta; Magnoliopsida; Malvales; Malvaceae. The record is from RNAcentral.
UUUGCAAGGUCUUCCUGAAAAGGAAUCUUUGUGUUUGUUUCUCCAAUUUGCGUCCAAGAAAGGGGAAAUCAAUCAAUACCAAAACCUAGUAAAAAUUAGGGAAGAAAUAGUUAAAAAAUGCAAUGGAGUGCCUUUGGUUUUGAAGACACUUGGGAGCUUGCUUCUCUCCAAAACUUCAGAAGAUGAUUGGGAACUUGUGAGAGAUAGUGAGAUAUGGAAAUUAGUGCAAGAGGAAAAAAGCAUUUUUCCUGUUUUGAACUUAAGUUAUGAUCACUUGCCUCCAUAUUUAAAGCCAUGUUUUGCUUUUCUUUCAGUCUUUCCAAAGGAUUAUGAAUUUAAUUGUAUGGAGUUGGUCCAUUUUUGGAUGGCUCAUGAUUUGCUUCAUUCCUCUAACAAAAAUGAAGAUGCUGAAGAUAUUGCUAAGCGUUAUUUGAUUGAUCUAUUGUCAAGGUCUUUUUUCCAAGACUUUGAUCAAAGUUUGUCUUUCCAAUCUUUUAAAAUGCAUGAUCUUCUACAUGAUCUUGCAUUAUCAGUGGCAAAGAAUGAGUGCUUGACGGUAAAUUGUUUCAAGCAAAUUAUUGCUCCAGGAAUUCGACAUUUGUGCCUUGACAACCUUGAUUUUCUUGAGGAGUAGUCUUCUGGCUCCCUUGAUGUUGAUAAGUUAUGUUAUCUACGCACAUUUCAUCUUGAAAAUAUGAAGGGAGGUCCUAACAGUGAAUUAUUUAUUAAGAAAUGUCUUUCAAGGUUUCAAAAUUUACGAGUACUAGAUCGUCAAGGAUCUAGUUUUGAGUUACUACCGAAAAAGAUUGGCAAUUUGAAGUAUUUAAGGUAUCUCGACCUAAAUGGCAACCCCAAAAUCAAGAAACUUCCAAAUUUUAUAUCCAAGUUACCGUGUUUGCAAAUUCUGCUUCUCUGUUGUGAAGGAAUUGAAGAGUUGCCCAAAAAUAUGAGGUCUCUAUUUAAAAAUGUUAGUAGUAAGUACAAAACAGAGGUCUCUAUUUAAAAAUGGACUUGAAAACUUGAAAUCUCUUCGGCAUUUGAUGAUUUUUGAAUGUAAAACUUUAAAAUAUUUGUUUGAUGGCAUUCAAAACCUCAAAUCUCUUACGUAUAAAUGGAAUAAAGACUCAAUCAUGAAUUGUGAAUUCAAAGCUGUUUAUUAAUGACUUUGGGCUACCACAUUUUUGUCUCUAAGUUUGCAAGACACUCUUCUCACAUUAAUUCAUCAGACCUAAUUUCUCUUACGUAUUGCUCUGUCCAAAACAAAAUUCUUGGUCUAUGUAAGCCCAUGAUGGUCUGCUGAAUUACCUUUGCGAAAACGGAUGCAUGAUAUUUCCCUCUUUAAUAUUUUAUAUGAUGCCUAUGAUCAGUAUAUCCAAUAUAGAGAUACAUUACUGAUUUGAAAGAAGGGUUUACAAUAUCUAACUUAAGCUCCAUGGGCUGACUCCUGAGAGUUCAACCAGAAUGCAAAUCUCGGUAAAAUUAUUUUUAACAAUAAGUAAAGAAAGAUUAUUUUAUGCAACUAAACGUAAAAUUAAGUUUUAUCAAUGAAACAAUAAACAGUAAUGUUGAAUCCAAAAGAUAGAAGACGAAGCCGAAUCUUGAAUUCAAACCCAAGACAUCAAACCAACAUUGAACGAAACAAGGAAAUUACAGCCCACAAACAAGCAUCAAAUUUCAGAUAGGUCCAUAACACAACUAGCUAGAAUACACCCAACAAUCAGGACAUAAGGCAAGCCAGGAACACUUCUGGAAUCAUAUUUAGUGGUUACGUGAAGAAUGGUGCAGCCACCAUGAGAAGUCCAGUCCAAUUACGUACCAAUAAAUGGAGAUACAUGCGCCCUGCCACUCAAUAACAAAUUAACAAUGGAUGAGCAAAAUCUCUAAAGAAUGCUAAAAUGGACACCAACAUGUUAUGGUACAUUAGGAUGUGAAAAAAUGUAGUUGCUAUUUCGGAAAAGUCAUCUUUAUUUAAAUAUAAAAGGUUCUUUACUCAGUCACUCUUUCAUUUGUUAGGUUAGUUUUUAAGUUUUAAUGGUUUUACUAUUCACUUUACAGAUUUUCUUUUUAAAAAAACUAGUACAAAAAUCAUUAAUAUGUUUAAAUAAGAAUGAAGCAAUAUAUAAUUAAAAACAAUAUCAUGGUACGUCUUAAAAGGGACGAAGCCCAAUUGAAACAUGAUAAUAAAUGUGCACAUAAACUUAAUGCUAAUAUCUUUUAUUAUUUGUAAAAAUAAGUUUCCUUUUGGAGUAUAUUUGAACUCGUAUCUGUUCCUACAUUAUUUAUUAUUUUAUUUAUAUAAAAUUAAAAUAUAUGAAUAAUAAAAGUUCAAAAACAACAACGAAAAAAAGAAAAUGAAAAAUGAAGAUAAACAACUAUGUACCGCGUAUCUUUCAUAACUUAAAUAUCUUUAUUUUGUUUUGUAAUUUCUUUUGAAAUAACAGUAUUGUAAGCAUGAAGUAACAUAUUGCUACUACUUAGUUGAUCAUAUUACUUGUUAAUUGAGUCUUAAAAACAUUGAUUUCCAGACUAACCACUAAAAUCACUUGUAUCAUUUCACUGACAAUUUAUAAAACAAAUAAAACUCAAUCUAAUAUGUAUAAAUGGAAGAAAGAAAGAAAGAAAAUUCAAGAAAAAAAGUGGGAAAAAUUACUUCUUAGCGAGUCGCUACGCUGCACAAUCUUGGCCCAAUCCUCUUCUGUUUCUGGCUUCCAUCUUUCGUUUAAAUUGGGACAAUGCAUAAUAGUCAUUUCUUUGAGGCACGGCAUACCCUCCGGCAGAGCCAUCAAUCCGUAUGUUCGAGACGUAAGCAAUCUUGGCCCAAUCCUCUCCUGUUUCUGGUCUGCAUCUUUCUUUCAAAAUGGGACAAUGCAUAAUACUCAAUUCUCUGAGGCAAGGCAUACUCUCUGGUAGAGAUGACAGUUUUGGGCAUUUCCCAAUACUAAACCUUUCAAGUGAUGUGAGAUUCUGCCACUCCGCCAAUGUUGUGAGAUUCUUGCAUUCUUCGAUUACCAGGAUCUGCAAAGUGUUGGCAGAUUCUCCAAGAAGCCAAUUGGGUAGUGCCUCCAGCCUUGGUAACCAUCCAAUGAUUAAUGUUUGAAGGCGUAACCCACUGCCAAUGUUGUGAUCUUGACUGUCAUCUUCUUUUCCUCUCGCUUUGGAUGCCAAUAUCAUAUUUAGAUGGAGCUUUUCGCAAUUCGAAAUCACCAGAAUUUUUAACGGGGUUAAAGCUUUAAUACCUUGUGGCAGCGCGAUCAAGUUCUUGCAAUCAACUAUUAUCAAUGUAUGAAGGGAUGUCAGAUUUUGAAUCCCAUCAAACAAAUAUUCUAAAUUUUCACAAUUAGCAAAUAACAAAUACCGAAGAGAUUUCAAGUAUUCAAGUCCAUUCUUGGAUAGAUCUUUUUGCUUUGUACUUAUUGAUAACAUUCUGAGACUAAUCAUGUAUCUCAUAUUGCUGGGCAACUCUUCGAUUCCUGCAUGAAUGAGAAGCAGAGUUUGCAAACACAGUAACUUACAUAUGAAAUUGGGAAGUUUCUUGAUAUUGGAGUUGCCGCUUAAAUCGAGAUAUCUCAAAUGCUUCAAACCACUAAUCCUUUUGGGCACUACGUCAAGACUAGAUCCUUGUAGAGUUAGCACUCGCAACUUUUGAAAUCUUGAAAGACAUUUUUUGAUAAAUGAUUCACUUUUGGCAUCUGCUUUCAUAUUUUCAAAACGAAAUGUACGUAGAUGACAUAAGUUGUCAAUAUAAAAAAAGUCACAAGAAUUUUUCUUAAAAAAAUCAGAGUUUUGAAGGUACAGAUGUCGAAUUCCUGAGGUAAUAAUUUGUUUGAAAGAGUUUAUCCUAGAGCACUCAUGCUUUGCCACUGACACUGCAAGAUCAUGUAGAAGAUCAUGCAUUUUAAAAAAAUAUUGUUUAGACAAACUUUUAUCAAAAUCUUGAAAAAAAGACCUUGAUGAUAGAUCAUUCAAAUAACGACGACCAAUAUCUAUUGGGUCAUCAUUUUCAUUGGAGGAUUGAAGCAAAUCAUGAGCCAUCCAAAAAUGGAUCAACUCCAUGUAAUUAAAUUCAUAAUCCUUUGGAAAGACUGAAAGAUGAGCAAAACAUAACUUUAAAUAUGGAGGCAAUUGAUCAUAACUCAAUUUCAAAACAGGAAAAACGUUGUUUUCCUUUUGCAUUACUUUCCACAUUUCACUAUCUCUCACAAGUUUCCAAUCAUAUUCUGAAGUUUUGCCGAGAAGUAAGCUCCCAAGUGUCUUCAAAGCCAAAGGAAUUCCAGUGCAACUUUUAACUAUCUCUUUCCCAAUUUUUACCAGGUUUGAGUAUUGAUUCAUUUCCCUUUUCUUGAAUGCAAAUUGGAGAAACAAAGACAAAGCUUCCUUUUCUGGAAGACCUUCUAAAUUGUGUGUUGGGAUUGUGCCCAUGAUCUCUGCAACUCGGCUACUACGAGUGGUGACUACAAUUUUGCUUCCCCUACCUCCUCCCACAAGCAACUGUUUCAAUUCCUUCCAUUUAAUAUUAUCUUCAUUCCACAGAUCAUCUAGAAUGAGUAAAUAUUUUUUCCCAUCUAAAGAGUCUCGUAAAACCUUUUGUAAUUGAUCUAAAUCCAUAUUACUCCAAUCUCCAUUGAUCUUUUUUGCCGCUUUAAUAAUUUUUACAAUUAAUCGUUUCAGAUGAAAAUCAUCUGAAACACAAACCCACAUUUUCAACUGAAAUUCCCCAUCUAUGAUUUCAUCAUUGAGCACCAAUUUUGCAAGGGCGGUCUUUCCGAGACCUCCAAUUCCAACUAUAGGAAGGACACAGAUAUUUUCCCCAUCAGUUGGGUCUUGCAUCAAAGCUCUUAUGAUUUUUUCUUUGUCCUCAUCUCUACCAAUGAUAUCCGCUGCUUGCACAAAGGAGUGGGUCUCCCUGUCCGGGCCCAUAACGACAUGCCUAGUGUCAUAAUGUCUUUCAGCGAGAUGAAAAUUAGCUUUCAAAGCAGCAAUCUCCCCAAAUCUCAGGGUAACCUUUUUAAUCUUUUGGGCCAUCCUAAAUCGAAAAGCAAGUGGGUUCGAGCUUGAAAAGAAAUGACUUACCUUCUUUCCGAUGCUCCUCUGUCUCAGAACUUGCUUCCGCAAUGCUUCGAUUUUAAAUUCAUCCAACACAUCUUCGGCAUCAUAACAGGCAUCCUUCAGCUUUUGCAACCAAUUCCGCAGCUGAUUGUUAUGAGCUUGGAUUUCUUCAGCAUCUAAGAGCACAUCUUUGACAGUGGUCAAUAUGUCAUUAAGCCUUUGAAAGUCAGAUUGGACACCCCAAGCUAGAGAAAUUUCUUGAUAAGCAACAGUGGCUAGUUUCUGAACUAAACUUUCUACAAUGUUAAAGGCAAAGGUUUCAGCCAUGAAUUUCUGAGGUAGUGAACAAGGGGAAGGAAAAGGAAAGAAAGAAACAGAAGAGAACACAAUUUGUGUGAAAUGCUAUUUAUUGCCACUGACUGACGAUAUACCUUGAAGCAAAUAGAAUUCAGAUGAAUCGUACAUGGAAAAAGCAGCUGUGAAAUGAGAAAGAAAGCGCGAGAAGGAAAACAAUAAAAAUCUUAAGAUUUAUUUGAUAAAGUUUCCUAUUUUUAAUUAAUUUUUAGUUUUUACUGUCAAAAUUUGUGUUUUUGUUUUAAAAAAUUAAAGAUAUAAAAUACACAUUAAUGGAAAUUUUUGGAGAAUUUAAAAAAUUAAAAAGUGUGAUGUGAAUUUUUAGGUGGUCACGUGACAUUUAAUUGCUCUUUAAACAGUUAAAAAUCCAAAAUACACAUUAAAUUCAAAACGACUUAAGAUUAACCAAAUAACAAAGAAAGAAAUAAGGAUUUAAAAUUAAAAGUUACCAAUUAACUAAAUUAAUUAGAAUUGAUGUGUGGUUUCUGCAUUUUCUGUGUUUGCUUUGCUGACUGAAGUGCUGAAAAUAUCAUUUUUGUUGUCAUGUGUUCUGAAAUAGACCUUGAAUGUGUUAGAAUGGUUUAUUGUUAUCUCACCAGGGCCCUUGAAUGUAAUUCCUGUGUAGGGAAGCAAGGUUAGUUUUCUUUGGUUAUGAUUUGUGCAGUGUGCAGAUUGUGUUUUUCUCUGCUUUUGUUGUGCAGGAUAUGUUCGGAUCAGGUUGUUAUGGGAUGUUCCUGAGAGCUUGUGAUGUUUGGUUGUUACCCUUGCAUCAGUUUCAUCCCAGGUACAACCUGGCAAAUUGCUAAAGGUCUAGUAUACGCAGUGACACUAAGGAGGGGUCUUGUCCCUUUGCCGUGUUUCUACUGCAAUACUACUGCCGUGUUUCUACCGCAAUACUACUUUGCCGUGUUUCCACGCGAUACCUAUGAUGGGUAAGUUUUUUGUACUGAUAUUAUUUAAAAAAAGCAAAAAACUUUUAAUGUGAGAAAGUUAUUUGCAAACUUAGAGUAAAUGUGGUCAGAGCCAACUCUAAAGUCACCCAAGAAAAGGCUUUAGGUCUCAAAUUUGAAGAGGCUUUAUAUUUUUAUAAUAAUAAUAUAAUGAAUUUUAUUAAAAUAAGAUUUAUAAUUGAUGUCAAGUUAUCAAAAUAUUUCAUCUCAUCAAUGAAGUAAAAUUAAAAUCUUAUAAGAAGUUAAAACUAAGUAUUAAUAAUUUUCCUUAAAAAUACAUAAAUAAUAAUUUUUUUCCUCUCCAACUCCCUCUCAAUUUUUUUUUUGUUCUCCUUUUCUUUUAUCUCUUGAACUCCACCAUUUCUCCUCUUUUCUUCUUCUUCCAUUAAGAGCAAAUUUGACAAAAUUAUUUUGUUAACUUCAAUAGUGAAAAGGCUUAGAAAAGUAUUGGCUCGACUUAAUGGACGUGGGUUAGGACAGUAUGGGAUUGGGUUAGGAGAGUAAGGGAUUCUGGCUUCCAUUUGGGACUUUGAUUGCCAAUGUUUUGGCUGCUUAUGUAAUGACAGCACUCUCCAUCGUGAAAAGGCUGGUAAGAUUUCAUUGAAUGGUUUCUAAUUUUUCUACACAGAUAUCAGGCAACAACCAAAGUUAAAUCAUAGGAAAUAUAAAUGGGAAUCGCAUAAGUUAAAACUGAAUAUAUCAUUAAAGCCAAUAAGUCAAAAUUUCUUUGAAAUCUUUAACUCUUGAAGUUGCACAAUUUACCAAACUUGUUCUUAAUGAAAGAAGAAAAAAAAAUAAUGGAGUUGGAGAGAGAUAAAGACGAGGAGAACAAGAAAACGUUGGGAGAGCUGCAGAGAGAAAUUUCUUGAUAAGCAAAUAGAAUUCAGAUUAAUUGCAAAUGGAAGAAGCAGCUGUGAAAUGAGAAAGAAAGUGAGAGAAGGAAAACAAUAAAUGGAGGAACAAAAAAAAUCUUAAGAUUUCUUUGAUAAAGUUUCCUAUUUUUAAUUAAUUUUUAUUUUUUAGUGUCAAAAUUUGUGCUUAUAUUUUAAAAAAUUAAAGAUAAAAAAUAUGAUUAUUAAUUAGCAUUAUCCCACAAUAAAAAAAUACAAAAUUAUUGGAAACAUGAUCAAUAGAUAUUUUUAGUACAGUUUUUAACAAUGAUCGAAACAAUAAGCAGUAAAGUUGAAUCUAAAAGAAAGAAGAAUCCUGAGUCCAAGCUCAAGCCAACAAACCAACAAUAACCGAAUAAAGAAAUUAGAUUAAAUUAUGAAAUUAAUCCCUAUACUUUAUAAAAAUAUUAAAUUUUUAGUCCUCAUAUUUUAUCAAAAUGUUUAAUUUAGUCUUCAUACUCUAUCAAAAUAUUAAAUUGAGUUUUUUAUUAUAAUUUAUCGGUUAAAUUAUGCAAUUACUCUAUGUACUUUGGUAAAAUAGUGGAUUUAGUUUCUGUAUAAUAAUUUGUAAAAAUUGAAUCUUUAUAUUUUUUAAAAUUGACAUGUUAGUCAAAUUGUUAACAGUAUUAAAAUGUUUUUAUUAUUUAUGUUUAGAUGGCAUUUUUUACUGAUAUAACAUUAAAUACGAUGAUAUGUUAAUGAUGACGUGACAUUUUUCAUUUAUUUCACAACAUUCCUUUCAUCGCUUUAAAUUAUAGAGCACAAAAAUUCAAUUCUUCACUGUUUCACAAUACUUUUUUCCUAGAUCCUAAAAAUCUAUUCAUAAUUUUAAUUUGUUUUUUUUAAUCCUGUUUAAAAUCAUUAACUCACACUAGAUAAUUCUAUGUUUGAGUUAUAAAAUUCAUGUUAGUACUUGUUCACGUUAUAUUGAUACUACUAUUAUAUCAUUUGUGAAAUGUCACAUUAUCAUUGUCAUGUUAUCAAAUUUAAUGUCACAUGAACACAACGAAACGUCAUAUCAAUAUAGAUAAUUGAAAAUUUUUAGCACAUUGGAUUGACAUUAUCAAUUUUAAAAGGUAUAAGGACUCAAUUUUUACAAAUUCUUGUAUAAUGACUAAAUUCACUAUUUUGAUAGAGUAUAAAGAUUAAUUGUAUAAUUUGAUCUAAUUUGUCUAAACGAAAUCUUUAUAUUUUCAAAACUUAUUAAUAGCAGUCUAAUUAGUAUUAUGUUAUGCUAAAAUUGUUGAUACCAUGAUGUGACAUUAACUAAGCUUAUAAGACAGUUAUUAGUGCUGUGACUUUGAUAGGUUCUAAAAUGGAAAGUUUUGGAGAAAUUAAAAAAUUAAAAAAUGUGACGUGAAUUUAUAGCUGGCCACGUGACAUUUAAUUGAGACUCAAACGGUUAAAAACUCAAAAUACAUAUUAAACUCAAAACUAAUUAAGAUUAAUCAAAUAACAAAGAAAGAAAUAAGGAUUUAAAAGGAAAGGUUACCAAUUAACUAAAUUAAUUAGAAUUGAAGAAUAGUGAACGUAGAGAGGGAAACUCUCCCAAGACGUUACGACUAAAAGUAAGCCCUUUUUUGACCGAACAAAUUUCGUCAGCAAUUUCUGGUGGAAAUCCAACGGGUUCUCUUCCUAACCAUUGUCAACGAUUUCUGAUGAAAUUUACCCAAAAAAACGCAAUGAUCAGAAUCGUCAUUGGCGCCAAAUCCGAUCUAUACGGUGGACACCUAUGGGCUCGGUAUCUCUUUUCUUUUCUGCAUUUUCUGUGUUUGCUUUGCUGAUUGAGGUGAUGGAAAUAUGAUUUUUGUUGUCAUGUGUUGUGAAAUAGACCUUGAAUGUAUUACAAUGUUUUGUUGUCAUCUCACCAGGACCGUUGAAUGUAAUUCCUGUGUAGGGAAGCAAGGGCAGUUUUCUUGGUUAUGAUUUGUGCAGUGUGCAGAUUGUGUUUUUCUCUACUUUUGUUGUUCAGGAUAUACGUUCAAAUCAGGUUGUUAUGGGAUGUUCCUGAGAGCUUGUGAUGUUUGGUUGUCACCGUGGGGGGAGGGUUGUUGUUGCAUCAGUUUCAUCCCAGAUACAACCUAGUAAAUUGCUAAAUGUCUUGCUUACGCAGUGACACCAAGGAAGGGGUCUUGUCCCUUUACCGUGUUUCUAGUGCAAUACUACUUUGUCGUGUUUCCACUGCAAUAAUGCCUAUGAAGGGUCGUUUUUUGUACUGAUAUUAUUUCAAAAAAACAAAAAACUUUAAUGUGAGAAAGUGAUUUGUAAACUUUUAAAUGUGGUCCAAGUCGACGCUUGCUAAAGUCACCCAAACAAGGGCUUUAGCUUUUAAAUUAAGAGAGAUUUCAUAUUUUUAUAAUAAUAAUAUAAUUAAUUAUAUUAAGAAUGACAUUUAUAUUUAAUACACUAACAGCGUAUAGUUUCUAUAUACUGUCAAACUAUCAAAAUAUGUCAUCUCAUUAAUAAAGUAAAAUUAAAAUCUUAAUUAAAUAUUAAAAAUUUUCUUCAAAAAUACAUAUAAGAUAAAACUAAAUAUUAAUAAUUUUUUUUAAAAAUACAUAAGUAAAAAUUUUUUUGCCGUUCACCUCGCUCUAAGGUUUUCUUAUUCUCCUCUCCUUUUAUCUCUCUCCAACUCCAUCAUUUCUCCUCUUCUCUUCUUUAUUCCAUUAAAAGCAAAUUUGACAAAAUUAUUGUGUUAACUUCAAUAAAUUUCAAUAAAUUUGAAAAGGCUUAGAAAAGUCUUAACUCGACUUAAUGGGCGUGAGACUUUGAUUGCCAAUGUUUUUGCUGCUUAUGUAAUGACAGCACUCUCCAUAGUGAAAAGGCCGGUAAGAUUUCAUUGAAUGGUUUCUAAUUUUUCUACACAGAAAUCACAAGGCAGCAAGACAUAUAUUUUGAUCAAUUAAACUAAAAGGCAACAACCAAAGUUAAAUCAUAGGAAAUGUAAAUGGGAAUCGCAUAAGUUAAACUGAAUAGUAUACAAAGAAAAUUAUACUUGUGCUUGCAGCAAAACUUGGCUGUCAAUUCAACUGCCAAAAAGUUCUUUAAACAAGAUUAACACUAAACUUUAGUUGGGGAAAGUGACAAACCAGUAAACUUUGUAAAAUUUUGUUAAAUCAAAUAUAAACUUUAAUAAAAUAAGCAUCAAUUUUUUAUCACAUUGUAACCCUAAACCCAAGCUAAAAAUCACUUAAAAAAUAUAUCAUUAAACCCAACAAGUAAAAAUUUCCUUUAAGAGUUACCAAAUGGUAAUUAUUGGAGGGUUACCAAAGUUGGAAGUACUACCCCAAUGGCUUCUUGGGGGAUCUGCCAACACUUUGCAGUUGCUGGCACUUGUCGAAUGUGAAAAUCUCACAACAUUUCCAGACAGACAGAAUCUCACAUCACUAGAAAGGUUGGUGAUUAGGGACUGUCCAAAUUUGUCAUCACUGCCAGAGAGGAUGCAAUGCCUCAAAGAAUUGAACAUUGGAAGGUGUCCGAUUUUGAGCGAAGGAUACAAACCAGAAAACGGAGAGGAUUGGGCCAAGAUUUCUCAUGUAUCUCGUAUUACUAUUGAUGGCCAUGAAAUCACAUCAAACAAAUGAACAGCCUGACAAUUAGCUAAUUAAGAAUUGCUUUUUCCGUCUGUUAUUUUUCUACAAUUUUCUUUCUUUCCUCCAUUUAUGUAUCAAAUAAUAAAACAUGAUUCUUUUUUAACUUUUUUUAUAAAGCUUGUCAGAUAAAUGAUACAAUUGACUUUAGUUGGUAGCUCAGAAAUCAGUAUUUAAGAUUUUCUUUUUUUUUUGGCCUAGCAAUAUUUAACAUUAAUAUGAUCACCUAAGUAGUAGUAAUGUGUUACUAUUUCCAAAGGAAUUACCAAGCAACGUUUAUUUCUAUUUUCAAUUUUUUCUCAAAUAAAAAAUUAAUUUACUAUUCCUCGCUCUUUGUUUCUUUUUGUUGUUUUUGGACAUUUAUUAUUUACAUUUUAGUUUUUAUAGAAAUAAAGCAAUAAACUGUGUAUAGAUACAAACAUAGAAUACACAUUUAAAAGAAAAAACUUAUCGUUUUACAUCUUACUUUUAAUAAAAAAUGUUGGUCAAUGUAACAUUCUUUAUAAUUUUACCUCAUUUGGUGUUACUGAAUCGCAGGGCACGUCUGCAUUUAAUGGUGUUGGAUUGGCAGUAGUCUUCAUGUAAUCCCCAAAGGUCAGUCCAUCGGGCAUUCCCGGCUUGCCACUUGUCCUCUUUGUAAUUUAUUUGAGUUGUAAUUUCCUUUGUUUUGUUCAAAGUUGGUUUGUUGGUUGUUGCCUUGGGUCUGGCUCUUCUUUCUUUUGGAUUUAAGCCCCAUGAGGCACAUAGGGACGGUGCCCCAUGUGGUGCAGUCGGACUGUGCCAAAUGGGUCCUCAAUGUCACAUUAUUGUUCACUCUUUUAUAUUGUUAAAACUUUAUUUUAUGUAUUUACUUCUUACUUAUUUAAUAAUUUCAUUAUCUUUUUUAAUAUGCAACAAUAUUACUAAUUACGAGUUUAACUUUACUCUAAUUUUUUUUUAUUUUAUUUUUUCACGUUUUUAAUACAAUUAAACUUGUCAUUUUUUUUUUAAAGUAAUUAAACUUGUCAUUCAAUUAUGUAAGACUCACUUAUGAAUUGUGAAUCCUAUCUAUAUAUGUAAAUGAAAUAUUAUUAAAUAUUUAUUAAUAGCUUUGAUUUUUCUUUGUUAUGAAAAUAGGUCAUUUUACCAUCUAUAAUCAUGAAAGGGCAAAGAAGGUUAAUUAAGGAAAUGAAAGAGAUAUUUUUCUACUACGUGGAAGAAAGACUUUGAAGGGGCGCAACAAUUCAAAGCACUAGGUCUUUUUGGCCUUAAAGUCACUUUAUAUAUUGUUCACUUUUAUACUGUUAAAACUUUAUUUUAUGUAUUUACUUAUUACUUAAUUGAUAAUUUCAUUUGUUUAUGCAACAGUAUUACUAAACGCAAGUUUGGCUUUACUCCAUUAUCUUUUCAUUGUCUCACGCUUUUCAAUACAAUUAAACUCCUCAUUCACAUAUAUAGGACUCAAUCAUGAAUUGUGAAUUAAUGGAAUUAAUAUUCAUAAACAUUACUAAUAACUUUGAUUUUUCCCUGUUAUGAAAAUAGGUCCUUCCUGAAUCGACUUCAGCACUAGGUCUUUUUACCAUAUAUAAAAAUGAAAGAGCAAAGAAGGUUCAUUAGUAAAAUGAAAGAGACAUUUUGCAACUACGCGGAACAAAGACUUUGAAGAAGCGGAGCAAUUCAAAGCUGUUUAUUAAUGACUUUGGGCUACCACAUUUUUGUUUCUAAGUUUGCAAGACAUUCUUCUCACAUUAAUUCAUCAGACCUAAUUUCUCUUACGUAUUGCUCUGUCCAAAACAAAAUUCUUGGUCUGUGUAAGCCUAUGAUGGUCUGCUGAAUUUCCUUCGCGAAAACGGAUGCAUUUCCCUCUUUAAUAUUAUAUAUGAUGCCUAUCAGUAUAUAAAGACUUUGUUAACUGGAUUAGGAGUACAAAUCCACUUCGUUCAUCAGCAAAGACUGGAAUGUUUGAGUGUCCUGAUUUUUAUCCUGUUAGCAUAAAUGGAAAUUAUGGAGUUAACACUUCUUCACAAGAUGAACUUACCAAGCAUGUGCUAAAUGCAAGCUUCAAUGGAAAUGAUUACUAUAUAUUAGGAAGUUACACAACCCAAACACACAACUUCUCGGCUGAAAAUGACUUCUUGGACAGCAGUUUUGUUUUCUAUAUCAUUAUGGGAAAUUUCAUGCUUUCAAGACGUUUUAUGACAGCUCUAAGAAGAGGCGACUGUCAUGGGGCCGGAUAGCAGGGAUGGAGGUAAUGCAAAUGCCCUUGAGAAAGGAUGGUCAGGGCUUCAGGCAAUCCAACUUUAAUUUUUAUAUUCACUCUUAUUAGCUCACUGGCUCAUCCCUCGUUUAAUAUAUAUAUAUAUAUAUAUAUAUACAUAUAUGAAAAUUGAUUAUACUCAUUUUGCAAUGCAAUCUGUGCUUGACAGUCAAUUCCUAGAAACAUUCUGCUCAGUAAAACUAGAAAGCAAUUGAUUCAAUGGCCAAUCAAAGAGAUUGAGACUCUUCGCGCUGAGAAUGUAAGCAUCCAGGAGACGCUGCUCUCAACUUGUGUCAAAUUAUUGAUGUGAUUUAUUCAAGUUAUUUGGCCGAUAGCUACAUUAGUAUUUUCUAUUUAAAUUGGGUUCAUUUGAUAGAAAAAUAAAAUAGAAGACUCGAUUUACAUAUAUAAAAAGAAUUUGACUGAAAAUUAUGUCAUAGUUUGAAGGCUUAUUUUUAUUACUAUGCCCUUUUUUUACAUUCAAUAGAAGAAGGCUAUAAAACUGACAAGAAUAUAAACUUGUACAUGCAAGAGUAAUUCGUGCUCCGUAGUCUGUCCUGCCUUAUUCAAAACUUGAUUGUCAAAUGAUUUGAAACUUAAUUUCUAUAUAUUGGAAGAAACAAGUUGGGCUUCUCUUCAAGCUUCAGGCCUCCAGCUUCAUAUAAUUAUUGACCAUUUCUCUAAUCCUUUUUUUUUUUUCUUUUUCAUAUGAAAUUCUUUACAAAAUUUUUUGGUUAAUCAUAAAAAAAAAAAUUGUUGGUUAAAAAUCAUGAACCAAGGUUGAUUAGGGUAUGGAAAGGGUAAAUAAUUUUAUUCAUAAUUGGAGAGUAGACGACUGAAACAAGUCUCAAAAAUUUAAUUAUGAAAAAAAAAUUGUCCUGUUUGUAAUAGGAGACAUUUAAAAAUUAAUAAAGUCUUAGAAAAGUCUUACAGAGAAGAACUAAGCAUAUUGAUCAUCCAGUCAAACUUAUAAGCCUUAUUUGGUUCAUGAAAUCAACAUACGGAGGAACGGAAAAUAAAUUUUGUAGGGUUCGUUCUGUCUUUUAUAUUUUGUUUUAUUAUGCAUUCAAAAUUUGUACUUUGUUUUUUUUUAAAAAAAUUGAAAAGACAUAACAAAAUGUUAAAUAGUGUCUAUAGACUCUAGUUAAGGUGAUAUUCAUCAAAAGAAUUAAUAUUCUUUUUAAUUUAGGAAAAAUACAUUAAAUAAAAAAUAUUUCCUAUAGGCCUUAAUUAACCAAACAUAAAUUAUGUUUGGUAAUUAAUAUUAGUGCAUGUUGGGAGAAAGAAUGAAAUUACUGAAAACAUAAUAAGUAUAAAUUAGUGCAUAAAAUAAAGUCUUUUACAAUGAAGCAAUAAACAUAAUAUCUGAUGUUUUUUUAUUUUUUGAAAGGUAAUAUGUGAUGUUAAAUCCAAAAGAAAGAAGAUGCAAGCGAAAUCUCGAUUUCAGUCAAGGCAACAAACAAAACAAAGAAAUUACAACCCAGCAAUCAAAACACGUGGCAAGCCAGGUGCACCCCUGGACUCAAUUUUAGCGUUUCCAUUUUAGAUCACGUGAAGAAGGGGGUGUGCAAUUGGUUUGAAGACUAAUAACAGCUUAGCAGCAUAAAAUUUAAAAGCUCUUUAAAGAUUAAAAACACUUUGUAAUUGUUAAUCUCUGACAUGCCCUUUUUUUUGCCUUCUUUUUCAACACGCAUGGGCUGGAAAAGCAAUUGCUCCAAUGGAUAAUUGAGCUGCCGUAGUAAAAGGAGGAUUAUUUUAUGAAACUUAGUGAUGCUACUUAUGACUCAGCUAACAGGCUGAAGAAAAGAUGGGUGGAAAUUCUAAAUAAACGAAUAGUUAAGCGAAAACUUUAACUAUAAAUUAAUCAGAAGUGUAAUUGGGCUUGAUCGCAUCCUUCUCUCUCUUUCAAUCUCAUUUCACAGCUGCUUCUUCCAUUUGUGAUCCAUCUGAAUUCUAUUUGCUUCAAGAUAUAUAGUCAGUCAGUAGCAACAUACACCAUUUCACACAAAUUAUCUUCUCCAUCUGCUUCUUUUUUUCCUUUCCCUCCUCCUUGUUCACCACCUCAAAAAAUUCAUGGCUGACACCUUUGCCUUUAACAUUGUAGAAAGAGUUAUUGAGAAACUAGCCACUGCUGCUUAUCAAGAAAUUUCCCUAGCUUGGGGUGUGCAAACUGACUUUCAAAGGCUUAAUGACAUAUUGACCACUGUCAAAGAUGUGCUCUUAGAUGCUGAAGAAAACCAAGCUCAUAAUAAUCAGCUGCGGAAUUGGUUGCAAAAGCUGAAAGAUGCUUGUUACGAUGCAGAAGAUGUACUAGAUGAAUUUGAGAUCGAAGCAUGGCGGAGGCAAGUUUUGAAACAGAGGAACAUCGUAAAGAAGGUACGCAAUUUCUUUUCAAGCUCAAACCCAGUUGCUUUUCGAUUUAGGAUGGCCCAUAAGAUUAAAAAAGUUACUGAGAGGUUUGGGGAGAUUGCCGCUUUGAAAGCUAAUUUUCAUCUUGCUCAAAGACAUUAUGGAACUAGGCAUCUUAUGGGCUUGGACAGGGAGACCCACUCCUUUGUGCAAGCAGCAGAUGUCAUUGGUAGAGAUCAAGACAAAGAAAAAAUCAUAAACGCCUUGAUGCAAGAUCCAACUGAUGGGGAACACAUAUCUGUCCUUCCUAUAGUUGGAAUUGGAGGUCUCCGAAAGACUACCCUUGCAAAAUUGGUGUACAAUGCUGAAUGUAUAGAUAGGCAUUUUGAGUUGAAAAAGUGGAUAUGUGUUGCAGAUGAUUUUGAUUUGAAACAAUUAAUGAUAAAAAUAAUUAAAGCUGCAAAGGGAUUCGAUGGAAAUUGGAGUAGCAUGGACUUAGACCAAUUACAAAAGGUCUUUCGAGAUUGUUUAGAUGAGAAAAAGUAUUUACUCGUUUUGGAUGAUUUAUGGAACGAGGAUCAUAUCAAAUGGGAUGAACUAAAACAAUUGUUGGUGGGAGGAGCUAAGGGAAGUAAAAUUGUAGUCACCACUCGUAGUAGCCAAGUUGCAGAGAUCAUGGGCACAAUCCCAACACACAAUUUGCAAGGUCUUCCUGAAAAGAAAUCUUUGUGUUUGUUUCUCCAAUUUGCAUCAAAAAAAGGGAAAUCAAUCAAUACCAAAACCUAGUAAAAAUUGCGGAAGAGAUAGUUAAAAAAUGCAAUGGAGUGCCUUUGGUUUUGAAGACACUUGGGAGCUUACUUCUCUCCAAAACUUCAGAAGAUGAUUGGAAAUUUGUGAGAGAUAGUGAGAUGUGGAAAUUAGUGCAAGAGGAAAAAAUAAUUUUUCCUGUUUUGAAAUUGAGUUAUGAUCAAUUGCCUCCAUAUUUAAAG